This 767-nucleotide unclassified non-coding RNA is filed under the name Hevea brasiliensis (rubber tree). Lineage: Eukaryota; Viridiplantae; Streptophyta; Magnoliopsida; Malpighiales; Euphorbiaceae. The record is from RNAcentral.
GGAAAAUACCCAGGAAAAGCACUGGCAGUUCAUUUAUAAUACUACAAGUCAUCAAUUUCAAUUAGAUAUAUUAACUUACAGAAAGAUUCAUAAACCAUUUCUACACAAUCCCAUCUUCUAUGCCCAAAGAGAAAGGGGAAAAAUCUAAUAAAAGAAUUAUUUAUGAAUCCAAAUUGAAGCAGUAAGCCAAUUUGGGGUAAAAAGAAGAAAAAAAUAACAAACAAAGCUAUAGUACAUCAUCCACCAAGAAAUCCCAAUCCAAUUGAAGGAACAGAGAGAUCAGGACUCCGAUGGAACAUCGGAGUUAUAACCACUAGAAAUCGCAGCCGGAGUCGUGGAGUAAGACGUAGUAAAACCUGCUCCUCCUUCAUUGUGCCUGCCCCUUUUAACAAGAGAAGCAAAGGUUGAAGAAACAGACUGAAUUAGACCUUUGAAAAUCUUCACUUUUAUCUGGCCUCUCCUAGGAGGGAGGGAUUGCUGGUGGCGGCGUUGGUGCUGUGGGGUGGAGUUAGAGGAUGAAAGCUCCAUUUUCUUUAAGAUGGGUAGUGAUCAGAAUCUUGAAGAAACAGAGGAAAGCAGAACAGAGAGAGGAAACAGAGGCAAGAAGAGUCUCUCUGAGGUAAGCAGAGGGAGAGUGUAAGAGACCCAAAUUCUGAGCAAGAAGGAAGAGAAGAGUGCUUUUUGACGUAGAAACAGGUGACUGUGAAACCGCAGAGGCGAGAGUGGAUGAGCAUAUGAAGACGGUUUCCUUGGUCACCAAGUUUUGG